AUGGUCAAACCUGCUCGCCAGCCGGCCGGGAGGUUUGCUGGCCUGGGCGACAGGGCCACCAGGGCAAGAUGGGCGAGAGCGCAUCCACGCAGACCCGCAUCCUCCCUUCCAUCGGCCCCACCUGGGGCUGGGCGGCAGCAAAUGCCGCCCUCCGCCUCCCGAGCAGGAGACAGCAGGAGACGGGCUCACUCACCUCUCGUCCCUGUCACCGUCACCGUCACCGGCAAACAAAGGCGAGCGCUCCCGGUGCGCGGCACUCCUGGCCCCCGGGCCUUCAGAGCCUCGCGGGGAGAGGCUGGCGGGGACUCGGCAUCCCGGGAAGGUCACCCUGGGCGACGCGGCGGCCGAGCUCACCCGUGCAGGGCGGUGCAGCUGGGUCUGGGUCAGCGGUGGGCUCCCGCUGGCCGGGCGGUGGCCCGUGUCAUCGCUGCCCGCGGCCUGCCUCCGAGGGUUCGCUGGGCGCACAGCGGGCGGGCGAGGCUGGCUUCUCGGGGACAGUUACCGCCGCUGCUUUGUGUGCAGGGGCGGGAGGCGGGGGCAGGCGGCGGAGGAGCAGGCCCGGCCGCUCGGCUCCUCCCCGUUGGCGGGGGACGGGCCUCUCCGCAGCCGCCAGGGCAGGUGCCGCGCUCGUGUCUGGUGGCGCAUCACAGAUGUGAGGACGGAACAGGGGCAGCAGACGACAGGGACGCAGGGGCAGGCCCCACCCCAGCUUCUCCCUUCAAGGAGCCGCGCGGGGACUGGGGCUGGGGCAGCAGCCUCUCAGACACACUGCCCGGCCGCCUCGGGCGCAGCGCCCCCUGCAGUUGUGCGCCGGGGAGCCGCAGCCGGGAGGGAGCCGCCAGCCCGGGGACAGUGGGGCUGAGCCCCGUCCUGCUCCCGGGUCCGCGCCAGGCCUCAUUCCCCCGGUCCGGGCAAUGGGACGCUCCAGUGUCACCUCCAGGACCUCGUGAGAGGAGGGUAGACCAGGCUGCGCACGCGGAGGGAGCCUCUAUCAGUGUCUCUUCCAAAUGCCGCCCCCCCACCUGGGCCCUGUAA
Molecule: long non-coding RNA, 1035 nt
Filed under: Urocitellus parryii (Arctic ground squirrel)
Lineage: Eukaryota; Metazoa; Chordata; Mammalia; Rodentia; Sciuridae
Description: lncRNA (ENSUPAG00010009285.1)
Source: RNAcentral